This is a long non-coding RNA of Saccostrea cuccullata (small rock oyster), 1536 nucleotides long. RefSeq lists it as uncharacterized. The transcript is spliced from 3 exons. NCBI's taxonomy places the organism in Eukaryota, Metazoa, Mollusca, Bivalvia, Ostreida, Ostreidae. The record is from RefSeq and is a predicted model, not a curated record.
GUGUGUUAACUGACUCUAGAAUAAUUUAUUGAUUUCUACAGUUUUGACUUUUCUGAAAUAACUUGUAGACCUUAUGGACAUUGGACAAUAUACUAAACAGCUAUGACUGACUGAGAAGGGAAUACCCGGUUUACAGAUCAGGUUCAUAUUUCAUAUAUUUGAACCUUUUGUUUGUUUGUGAACAACACAUGACCUGAAUAAAUGCAUUGGUGAUAUUGAACCCAUCUUACUCUCGUUGUGAUUAAAACCAACGUUUACAAAUGGCGCCCAUGUACCUUGGACAUCACCAAUAGCCGCUACGCAGUGACGUAUCCGGGGCGGGAAGUGAUCACGUGCCUGUUGGAUCCGCCACGACAUAGAGCGACAUUAAAUAUCAUCGGGUUCGAACUACAGAAUUUUCCAACCAUCAUGGCUUCCAUUUACAUGUGUCGGUAAAAUUGUUUAAAUUUUUACGUACAGCAAGGAACUUGAGUGUGAAUGAACUUUAAGAAAGACAUUUUCUGAACAUCACCAUUAACCAUAGUGACAUUGAUCACUUUUGUGAAUUAAACUGUCAGUAUUUAUUUGCCAUUUAAUAUUGAAUUAUUUUGUGCAUCAUCAAUCAGCUGAUCUCUUGACAGUCUUGUUAAUUUUUACACUUGUGCUUGUCUUGAUACUUGCUAUUUAUUCAUAUGUUUAUUUAUUUAUUUUUGCAUUGACAUCACCUUGAUCAUCACCACCAUUAUUUGUGCCUCCAUUUUUGACACUGAUUGAGAAAUAUUUUUGAAGCAAGAGUCACAGAUCAGGAAGUGUGAAAGAUAUUUCAGAUUAACAAGAGGUUAAGGUAAAUAUUAACCACUAAACUUUAUUAAUUGACAAAACCUUUAUGACAGUAAGACCUACUACGCUUAUCUGAUCAAAAUGUCUGUUGUUGUCAGUUGGUAUUGAGACUUUGAGUCUGUGGUUAAAGUUAGUUGUAUUUUCAUCUGAUCAAAACAUUUGUCUGUAGUCAAAAGAUACUGGUACAUUCCUGCAGAAGUUUGUCUGUCUUUGAUUGCUUCUUCUUUAAACCACUUGAUUCAGUUUGAUUAUAUUGGUGUAAACCACUGAGCAUAUUUGAAUUUGAAAACAAUUUCCUGAUCCCAUAUUAUUAUCAUUUGACAUUUGCUAUUUGAAUUUAUAUUGUUUGUACUUCGGGUUAUUUCGUGCAUUUUGACGUUGCCAUCUGAAGAUUACAACUACAGCUUAAGAGGUUUGAUAUUUAGUUUAGAAAUUUUUAGUUAAGAGAUUGGAUUAGAAUUAUGUAGUUAAAUUAGAUUUAAAUCACAUUAUUUUUUUUUCAGGAUAAUUCUUAUAAAUCUUUUUCAGGUUUAGUUAAAUUAGUUAAUUAGAUAUUUAUUUAUCAUUAGAUUAGUAUCCUAGUUAAGAUUAGCAAUUAAGAACUAGUAUAUAGUUUUACUCAAGUACACUACAAGAAAUCAACAAACAUGUCAGUCGAAUUCACUACGGAUGAACUUGAAAACAUCGCAAAUGUGUUCAAGGAUUUGAAAGUCAAAC